CUCGUAGGCGGUUACGUAAGUCGGAUGUGAAAACUCGAGGCUCAACUUCGAGACGCCAUCCGAUACUGCGUUGACUUGAGUCCGGUAGAGGAGUGUGGAAUUCCUAGUGUAGCGGUGAAAUGCGCAGAUAUUAGGAGGAACACCUAUUGCGAAGGCAGCACUCUGGGCCGGUACUGACGCUGAGGAGCGAAAGCAUGGGUAGCAAACAGGAUUAGAUACCCUGGUAGUCC
Molecule: ribosomal RNA, 230 nt
Filed under: uncultured bacterium
Lineage: Bacteria
Description: partial 16S ribosomal RNA
Rfam family: Bacterial small subunit ribosomal RNA
Source: RNAcentral